This 305-nucleotide unclassified non-coding RNA is filed under the name plant metagenome. RNAcentral's name for it is "partial contains 5.8S ribosomal RNA, internal transcribed spacer 2, and large subunit ribosomal RNA". The stretch from base 1 to 105 matches the Rfam family "5.8S ribosomal RNA", at positions 50 to 154 of the family's 154-position model. The record is from RNAcentral.
GAAAUGCGAUAAGUAGUGUGAAUUGCAGAAUUCAGUGAAUCAUCGAAUCUUUGAACGCACAUUGCGCCCUUUGGUAUUCCUUAGGGCAUGCCUGUUCGAGCGUCAUCUAAACCUUCAAGCCCUGCUUGGUGUUGGGUGCCUGUCCCGCCUCCGCGCGCGGACUCACCUCAAAUCCAUUGGCGGCCCCCGCGUCGGCCACGAGCGCAGCACAAACGCGAACUCGUGAGCCCGUCCGGGCGGCUCCCAGAAGCUACACCCACCCAGUUUGACCUCGGAUCAGGUAGGGAUACCCGCUGAACUUAAGC